Plutella xylostella (diamondback moth) is the source of this 885-nucleotide long non-coding RNA. RefSeq lists it as uncharacterized. The record is from RefSeq and is a predicted model, not a curated record. Lineage: Eukaryota; Metazoa; Arthropoda; Insecta; Lepidoptera; Plutellidae.
GAACCAAGGACUUUGUAUAUAUAACAGGACUGAGUACUGCCAAAAUUUUAAUUACUAAAACACGUCGUAAGCUGUUGUAAUAAGAUUCAAUUUGGCAAUCAACGUUUCAAGAGCCAAAACGAGCCGAGCGAGAUAGCUAGAUUAGAGGCCGUUUGUCCCUUACUAACGCUUGCCAUCCCAAAAAAAACGUGAUAGUUGGUAGAAAAUAUUUGAUUUGAUUUGAAUUGAAAAUGUUAGAUUUUUAUGUCAAACAAUGAUUUAAUUAUCAUACGAACUCUAAGCAUAACUUAUAAUUAAAUAAUAACUUUAAACUUACUAAUAAGAUUAAAGUUAUUAUUUAAUAAGAUAUUAUUUUGUAUCGUACCUCAUAAUAAUUAUGUUAAACCUGUCAUUAUUUCAAACACUUGGUAGUAUUCUUUUUAUUACCUUAUGCCAACCCUUUCAUCUGUCAUGGCGGUUUGUUUUGAAUUUAUUUGUUGUUGUCUUGUCAUACCAAGUUAUAUUUGCAAAUUAGUAAGUUUCAUUGAAGAAAUUGAGAAAAAGUGCUGUGUACAAGUUUGUAAAAGUGAAUCGUGUGGUGGUUGCGGCAUAUUAUUUCACAGAUUUCCCAAGAAUGAAGAUAAGAAAAAAAUAUGGCUAUCCAUCCAGAUGUUGUUCCGGUGUCACAAUAGAUCAUCAUCAUCCAGUUCAAUGUAAUGAAGAACCACACAUGAGUUCCAGUUGUGAAGGCAUUAGCUAAUUCAUAUUUAAAUUUUAACAUACUUAUUCCAUAAUGGAAAAUCUAAUUCCUUAAAGAAUUUAGGCAGUAACAUUGGCCUCCGGCAGAAUUGUAUAAAACAAUAUUGUUUAGCCAUGUUUAGUAAUAUUAAAAAUAAAUUCGAUAUA